GAUGAACGCUGGCGGCGUGCCUAAUACAUGCAAGUCGAGCGAACAGACGAGGAGCUUGCUCCUCUUACGUUAGCGGCGGACGGGUGAGUAACACGUGGAUAACCUACCUAUAAGUCUGGGAUAACUUCGGGAAACCGGGGCUAAUACCGGAUAGUAUAUUGAACCGCAUUGUUCAAUAGUGAAAGAUGGUUUUUCUGUCACUUAUGGAUGGAUCCGCGCCGCAUUAGCUAGUUGGUAAGUUAACGGCUUACCCAGGCAACGAUGCGUAGCCGACCUGAGAGGGUGAUCGGCCACAGUGGAACUGAGACACGGUCCAGACUCCUACGGGAGGCAGCAGUAGGGGAUCUGCAGCAAUGGGCGAAAGCGUGACGGAGCAACGCCGCGUGAGUGAUGAAGGUCUCCGGAUCGUAAAACUCUGUUCUUAGGGAAGAACAAAUGUGUAAGUAACUAUGCACGUCUUGACGGAACCUAAUCAGAAAGCCACGGCUAACUACGUG
This 497-nucleotide ribosomal RNA is filed under the name uncultured bacterium. RNAcentral's name for it is "partial 16S ribosomal RNA". It matches the Rfam family "Bacterial small subunit ribosomal RNA", at positions 28 to 507 of the family's 1533-position model. The record is from RNAcentral.